UGCCAGCCGCCGCGGUAAUACGAAGGGACCUAGCGUAGUUCGGAAUUACUGGGCUUAAAGAGUUCGUAGGUGGUUGAAAUAGUUGGUGGUGAAAUCCCAGAGCUUAACUCUGGAACUGCCAUUAAAACUACUAGUCUAGAGUUCGAGAGAGGUGAGUGGAAUUCCGAGUGAAGAGGUGAAAUGCGUAGAUAUUCGGAGGAACACCAAUUGCGAAGGCAGUUCACUGGACCGUGAUCGACGCUGAGGAGCGAAAGCUAGGGGAGCAAACCGGAUUAGAUA
This 279-nucleotide ribosomal RNA is filed under the name uncultured bacterium. Its description in RNAcentral is "partial 16S ribosomal RNA". It matches the Rfam family "Bacterial small subunit ribosomal RNA", at positions 506 to 784 of the family's 1533-position model. The record is from RNAcentral.